RNAcentral lists this unclassified non-coding RNA (619 nucleotides) under Hevea brasiliensis (rubber tree). The record is from RNAcentral. Lineage: Eukaryota; Viridiplantae; Streptophyta; Magnoliopsida; Malpighiales; Euphorbiaceae.
AAAGAAGCCACCUUCCUAGUGAAGUUUUACCCAACAGCCCUAUGAACAUGGCCACUGCGAUGAUUCGCAGAAUGCCAAUUAAUGACUUUGAGCCAAUUUUUACUCCAAAGUGAGCUGGCUUCACCGACGACCAAAACGUUUUUCUCUGUUCGAUCUCGUCAGCGCUCUCAUUAACACCAGGAAGACCUUGGGGGUUUUCAGCAAGAGUGGAGAGUGUUCUCCGAACUACAGUGGAAUCAGCUGAUGGUAAUCUUACUGCCCAAAGGCCUAUCUCCUUCUUGUGUUCGAUAGUAGAUCCUUUAGAAGGAGGAGGACCAGGAAUCUUAGGCCGAGGUCUUCUGGGCCUCGAACGCCUCAAUUGCAAUAACUGGUCGGCAUUAGCAACACCCAAAACAGCGGACUCAAAAGUCCCAACGUUCCCAACUAUUUUUCUCUUCGAUUCCAAGCUCACAUACGCUUCGAUCCGAUUCGGCGCCGAUUGUCCGACCCACUGCCUCGAAUUGAACAUCAAACCCAAUUCAGCAGGAACCGAGUCGAACCCACAAGCCGAAACCACCAAAGCCCCACUCUGAACCCCCCUCUCAUGAUAAUUAGCUUCCAUUUUCUCCAUGAACUCCGG